This 460-nucleotide ribosomal RNA is filed under the name uncultured bacterium. RNAcentral's name for it is "partial 16S ribosomal RNA". It matches the Rfam family "Bacterial small subunit ribosomal RNA", at positions 338 to 795 of the family's 1533-position model. The record is from RNAcentral.
CCUACGGGCGGCAGCAGUGAGGAAUAUUGGUCAAUGGGCGGGAGCCUGAACCAGCCAAGUCGCGUGAGGGAAGACGGUCCUAUGGAUUGUAAACCUCUUUAGGCGGGGAGCAAUGCCGGGCACGUGUGCCCGGAGGGAGAGUACCCGCAGAAUAAGCAUCGGCUAACUCCGUGCCAGCAGCCGCGGUAAUACGGAGGAUGCGAGCGUUAUCCGGAUUUAUUGGGUUUAAAGGGGGCGUAGGCGGAUUUUUAAGUCAGCGGUAAAAUGUCCGGGCUCAACCCGGGCCGGCCGUUGAAACUGGCAGUCUUGAGUGGGCGAGAAGUAUGCGGAAUGCGUGGUGUAGCGGUGAAAUGCAUAGAUAUCACGCAGAACUCCGAUUGCGAAGGCAGCAUACCGGCGCCCUACUGACGCUGAGGCACGAAAGCGUGGGUAUCGAACAGGAUUAGAUACCCCUGUAGUC